GACGAACGCUGGCGGCGUGCUUAACACAUGCCAGUCGAACGGAAAGGCCCUGCUUUUGUGGGGUGCUCGAGUGGCGAACGGGUGAGUAACACGUGAGUAACCUGCCCUUGACUUUGGGAUAACUUCAGGAAACUGGGGCUAAUACCGGAUAGGAGCUCCUGCUGCAUGGUGGGGGUUGGAAAGUUUCGGCGGUUGGGGAUGGACUCGCGGCUUAUCAGCUUGUUGGUGGGGUAGUGGCUUACCAAGGCUUUGACGGGUAGCCGGCCUGAGAGGGUGACCGGCCACAUUGGGACUGAGAUACGGCCCAGACUCCUACGGGAGGCAGCAGUGGUGAAUAUUGCACAAUGGGCGGAAGCCUGAUGCAGCAACGCCGCGUGCGGGAUGACGGCCUUCGGGUUGUAAACCGCUUUCGCCUGUGACGAAGCGUGAGUGACGGUAAUGGGUAAAGAAGCACCGGCUAACUACGUG
RNAcentral lists this ribosomal RNA (468 nucleotides) under uncultured bacterium. RNAcentral's name for it is "partial 16S ribosomal RNA". It matches the Rfam family "Bacterial small subunit ribosomal RNA", at positions 28 to 507 of the family's 1533-position model. The record is from RNAcentral.